UUUUAGUGAUUUCCUUUCCUUUCAUCCCAGCACAUUUGGCUGCAGUACUAGACAUGAUUUACAAAUCAAAUGUUUACAAAGGUAUAUGCAGCUUCUGUGGGGCGAAAGGAAACAAAAUACGCAUAUUCUCUGCAUGGAUUGGUGCCUGUUACUCCUGUUUCUAGUCUCCAGGUAACUAUUUAACCUAACCAAGGUGGACCCUGGGUAGGACCCAGAGAAGUAGCUUGUGAUAUAAAUUUACUUUUGCAUAUGUAUUAUGUUCCAUCUUGUCUGUUCAAAUAAAGUGGUUUCUUUCUUCCCUGUCUCAAAUUCAAAUGUCCUCUAGUAGCAAAUAGGAUGAAGCGGCUGCCUGGAGGGCUAGGCCCCACCUCAAGGCAACAGCUGUGAUUCGGCUCCAAAUGAUCAUCACCGCCGGAAGUGUGGGCCCAAUGUCACCCCAUUUUCCAAUUUUUCUAUAGCUGCCGAAACUGGAUUUGUUAAUGCAAGGUCUCCUGAUUUUUAAUAUUUCUAAUAAAUUCUAAUUUAUUAAAAAAUGUGUCUAGAUUUUAGAUUUGGCCCAUUUGCUGUCCUUUUGCUUUAAAGUAUUUUCCCCCCUGAUUUUUCUCAUCUGUAAAACAGAAAAAAUAAUCUUUACAUUUCAGAGUGAUCACCAGCCUCACAGGAAAUAUUGGCGUGUUAAAGAUGCUUUGUGAUCCAAACCUUAAGAAAAUCUUGGUCAAUGAAAUCUGGGAUGCCAGGUAAAGGAGCGUCUGGUUCUCUGCAGAAGAGAGGGCUACGUGGAAGUUUCCAUAUUGGAGGUAGGGGCUUUACCAGCCACCUUUUCCCACUCUGCUCCCAGGCACUGGCCACCUGCCUGACACUCCCGGCAGACGGCAGACCAUUGGAGAAAUCUCUAGGGAAUCUGAGAUGAACUACUUCUAGGUACUUCUCCUAAUGAGGCAGGCUAGAGGGAGCACCUCCCCCACCUGAGAGGCCUCGGCCACCAAGCCCCAUCCACAUCGACAGGGAUUCCCAAACUAUUUAACAGCCAAAGAUCCGUAUGUAAGGACCCAUAAACAUUUCACACAAAAGACACCAGAACAAACCAUCUUGGAGGAAACAAAAUGCAGGAAAAAGGACACCUUAAGAAACAAAAAACUAUUAUCAAUUUCCUUAGAUACGAUGUUGGAGGGACGCAUGGCUGCCUCAGUAAAUGGAGUGUGUGACUCUUAAUCUCUGGGUUGUGGGUUCAAGCCCUGUGUUGGGUGUAGAGAUCACUUUAAAAAUAAAAACUUGAAAAAGAUCUCGCAUCCACAAAAAGAACAGAUG
Molecule: long non-coding RNA, 1308 nt
Filed under: Suricata suricatta (meerkat)
Lineage: Eukaryota; Metazoa; Chordata; Mammalia; Carnivora; Herpestidae
Description: lncRNA (ENSSSUG00005013922.1)
Source: RNAcentral